Molecule: ribosomal RNA, 586 nt
Filed under: uncultured bacterium
Lineage: Bacteria
Description: bacterial SSU rRNA
Rfam family: Bacterial small subunit ribosomal RNA
Source: RNAcentral
CCUACGGGAGGCAGCAGUGGGGAAUUUUGGACAAUGGGGGCAACCCUGAUCCAGCAAUGCCACGUGAGUGAAGAAGGCCUUCGGGUUGUAAAGCUCUUUUGUCAGGGAAGAAACGGCGGUUUCUAAUACAGAUCGCUAAUGACGGUACCUGAAGAAUAAGCACCGGCUAACUACGUGCCAGCAGCCGCGGUAAUACGUAGGGUGCAAGCGUUAAUCGGAAUUACUGGGCGUAAAGCGUGCGCAGGCGGUUAUAUAAGUCAGAUGUGAAAUCCCCGGGCUCAACCUGGGAACUGCAUUUGAGACUGUAUGGCUAGAGUGUGUCAGAGGGGGGUAGAAUUCCACGUGUAGCAGUGAAAUGCGUAGAUAUGUGGAGGAAUACCGAUGGCGAAGGCAGCCCCCUGGGAUAACACUGACGCUCAUGCACGAAAGCGUGGGGAGCAAACAGGAUUAGAUACCCUGGUAGUCCACGCCCUAAACGAUGUCUACUAGUUGUCGGGUCUUAAUUGACUUGGUAACGCAGCUAACGCGUGAAGUAGACCGCCUGGGGAGUACGGUCGCAAGAUUAAAACGUCAAAGGAAUUGACGG